GACGAACGCUGGCGGCGUGCUUAACACAUGCAAGUCGAACGGAAAGGCCCUGCUUUUGUGGGGUGCUCGAGUGGCGAACGGGUGAGUAACACGUGAGUAACCUGCCCUUGACUUUGGGAUAACUUCAGGAAACUGGGGCUAAUACCGGAUAGGAGCUCCUGCUGCAUGGUGGGGGUUGGAAAGUUUCGGCGGUUGGGGAUGGACUGGCGGCUUAUCAGCUUGUUGGUGGGGUAGUGGCUUACCAAGGCUUCGACGGGUAGCCGGCCUGAGAGGGUGACCGGCCACAUUGGGACUGAGAUACGGCCCAGACUCCUACGGGAGGCAGCAGUGGGGAAUAUUGCACAAUGGGCGGAAGCCUGAUGCAGCAACGCCGCGUGCGGGAUGACGGCCUUCGGGUUGUAAACCGCUUUCGCCUGUGACGAAGCGUGAGUGACGGUAAUGGGUAAAGAAGCACCGGCUAACUACGUG
Molecule: ribosomal RNA, 468 nt
Filed under: uncultured bacterium
Lineage: Bacteria
Description: partial 16S ribosomal RNA
Rfam family: Bacterial small subunit ribosomal RNA
Source: RNAcentral